GACGAACGCUGGCGGCGUGCCUAAUACAUGCAAGUAGAACGCUGAAGGAGGAGCUUGCUUCUCUGGAUGAGUUGCGAACGGGUGAGUAACGCGUAGGUAACCUGCCUGGUAGCGGGGGAUAACUAUUGGAAACGAUAGCUAAUACCGCAUAAGAGUAGAUGUUGCAUGACAUUUGCUUAAAAGGUGCAAUUGCAUCACUACCAGAUGGACCUGCGUUGUAUUAGCUAGUUGGUGAGGUAACGGCUCACCAAGACGACGAUACAUAGCCGACCUGAGAGGGUGAUCGGCCACACUGGGACUGAGACACGGCCCAGACUCCUACGGGAGGCAGCAGUAGGGAAUCUUCGGCAAUGGACGGAAGUCUGACCGAGCAACGCCGCGUGAGUGAAGAAGGUUUUCGGAUCGUAAAGCUCUGUUGUAAGAGAAGAACGAGUGUGAGAGUGGAAAGUUCACACUGUGACGGUAUCUUACCAGAAAGGGACGGCUAACUACGUGCCAGCAGCCGCGGUAAUACGUGGGUCCCGAGCGUUGUCCGGAUUUAUUGGGCGUAAAGCGAGCGCAGGCGGUUAGAUAAGUCUGAAGUUAAAGGCUGUGGCUUAACCAUAGUACGCUUUGGAAACUGUUUAACUUGAGUGCAAGAGGGGAGAGUGGAAUUCCAUGUGUAGCGGUGAAAUGCGUAGAUAUAUGGAGGAACACCGGUGGCGAAAGCGGCUCUCUGGCUUGUAACUGACGCUGAGGCUCGAAAGCGUGGGGAGCAAACAGG
Molecule: ribosomal RNA, 763 nt
Filed under: uncultured Streptococcus sp.
Lineage: Bacteria; Bacillati; Bacillota; Bacilli; Lactobacillales; Streptococcaceae
Description: bacterial SSU rRNA
Rfam family: Bacterial small subunit ribosomal RNA
Source: RNAcentral